This 468-nucleotide ribosomal RNA is filed under the name uncultured bacterium. RNAcentral's name for it is "bacterial SSU rRNA". It matches the Rfam family "Bacterial small subunit ribosomal RNA", at positions 330 to 797 of the family's 1533-position model. The record is from RNAcentral.
UCCAGACUCCUACGGGAGGCAGCAGUGAGGAAUAUUGGUCAAUGGGCGGGAGCCUGAACCAGCCAAGUCGCGUGAGGGAAGACGGUCCUAUGGAUUGUAAACCUCUUUUGCCGGGGAGCAACGGGGUCCUUGCGAGGGCCCGAUGAGAGUACCCGGAGAAAAAGCAUCGGCUAACUCCGUGCCAGCAGCCGCGGUAAUACGGAGGAUGCGAGCGUUAUCCGGAUUUAUUGGGUUUAAAGGGUGCGUAGGCGGGCUGUUAAGUCAGGGGUCAAAGGUCGGGGCUCAACCCCGGCCUGCCGUUGAAACUGGCAGUCUCGAGUUGGAGAGAAGUAUGCGGAAUGCGCGGUGUAGCGGUGAAAUGCAUAGAUAUCGCGCAGAACUCCGAUUGCGAAGGCAGCGCACCGGCGCCCUACUGACGCUCAGGCACGAAAGCGUGGGUAUCGAACAGGAUUAGAUACCCCAGUAUCA